This 1000-nucleotide ribosomal RNA is filed under the name uncultured organism. Its description in RNAcentral is "bacterial SSU rRNA". It matches the Rfam family "Bacterial small subunit ribosomal RNA", at positions 356 to 1376 of the family's 1533-position model. The record is from RNAcentral.
GGGGGAUAUUGCGCAAUGGGGGCAACCCUGACGCAGCAACGCCGCGUGAAGGAUGAAGGUUUUCGGAUUGUAAACUUCUUUUAUUAAGGACGAAACUUGACGGUACUUAAUGAAUAAGCUCCGGCUAACUACGUGCCAGCAGCCGCGGUAAUACGUAGGGAGCAGGCGUUGUCCGGAUUUACUGGGUGUAAAGGGUGCGUAGGCGGCUUUGCAAGUCAGAUGUGAAAUCUAUGGGCUCAACCCAUAAACUGCAUUUGAAACUGUAGAGCUUGAGUGAAGUAGAGGCAGGCGGAAUUCCCCGUGUAGCGGUGAAAUGCGUAGAGAUGGGGAGGAACACCAGUGGCGAAGGCGGCCUGCUGGGCUUUAACUGACGCUGAGGCACGAAAGCGUGGGUAGCAAACAGGAUUAGAUACCCUGGUAGUCCACGCUGUAAACGAUGAUUACUAGGUGUGGGGGGUCUGACCCCUUCCGUGCCGGAGUUAACACAAUAAGUAAUCCACCUGGGGAGUACGGCCGCAAGGUUGAAACUCAAAGGAAUUGACGGGGGCCCGCACAAGCAGUGGAGUAUGUGGUUUAAUUCGAAGCAACGCGAAGAACCUUACCAGGUCUUGACAUCCAACUAACGAAGUAGAGAUACAUUAGGUGCCCUUCGGGGAAAGUUGAGACAGGUGGUGCAUGGUUGUCGUCAGCUCGUGUCGUGAGAUGUUGGGUUAAGUCCCGCAACGAGCGCAACCCUUGCUAUUAGUUGCUACGCAAGAGCACUCUAAUAGGACUGCCGUUGACAAAACGGAGGAAGGUGGGGACGACGUCAAAUCAUCAUGCCCCUUAUGACCUGGGCUACACACGUACUACAAUGGAUGUUAACAGAGGGAAGCAAGACAGCGAUGUGGAGCAAACCCCUAAAAACAUUCUCAGUUCAGAUUGCAGGCUGCAACCCGCCUGCAUGAAGAUGGAAUUGCUAGUAAUCGCGGAUCAGCAUGCCGCGGUGAAUACGUUCCCG